AUGUGUGAGUCUCUGCUGACUUGUAGCCAAUAUGUGAGCACAGAAAGGAGAGUCUAAGAUUAGAAUGGUUCUAUCCCUCCUCCCUCCUGCUAUCACUUUUAUUUUUCCAACAUAGGACAUGCCGUCAAAAGAAGAAUGCAUUUUGCAUCUUGAAUUCCAUAAGUUGCCAGCUGGCAGAGACACUGGAAAUUCAAAGACUGUUCUUCAUACUUGUGGUAAG
Long non-coding RNA from Cygnus olor (mute swan), 220 nucleotides. RefSeq lists it as uncharacterized. NCBI's taxonomy places the organism in Eukaryota, Metazoa, Chordata, Aves, Anseriformes, Anatidae. The transcript has 3 exons. The record is from RefSeq and is a predicted model, not a curated record.